UUCACAAAUACAUCCUUCAUUUCUUUCGGUUACGAUAAAAAAACACAGAGAAAAUAAGAAAGCUCUUUCAAACCCUCUCAAUGGCUCUCUCGCGAAUCUCUCAUUCGAUUCUCUAUCGGUCUCAACACUGCUUCUCAGAAGAAAAAAUAAACAAAAACGACUCUCUCUACUCUCAUCGCUAUUCAUCUCUCGCGCAUGUUCAUGUUUUCGCCGGUAUCAAACAAAUAUCACAACACAAAACCCUAAUCCCAAUCAGUCCCAAAUCGGCCCCCAUUUACUGUUUUCAAGUAUUACAGAUAAUUAUUACAUGUUACAAUACUGAAAUCAAGAGAAACGGGAAGCAGAAUAUACAAGAUAAAGCAACAAUUUAAUGAUAAAUCAAGAUUCACGACGAAUUUACCGAGUAUGAAAGCGAUAUCGAGGUAAGGAAGCUCUAUGAAUAUCUCCACUCAAAGUGUUUCGAGUUCUUCUCCUAUACUUUUGUCCGCUUCUGUAUUUUGCUGCUUGUGUUUUUCGUUGUUUUUCUGGGCGUGUUGGAGAUGAGAGGUUGUUCUGUUGUGUUGGUUCAUAGUGUGAAGGAUUUGUUGAAUGGAGGUUGAAGACUUGAGAUUAGGUUUUGGAUUGUAGCAGCAAGAGUGCAGGCUGUAUCAGAAGCAUGCUUGGACAGUAUCAAAGAGAGGAUAGCGUGGGAUAGAGAACAUGAAGAAAACCAUUUUUUUAUUUUUUUUGUUCUAUGAAACAAAAAGUGAAAUGGACCAAACAUGUAACUUGGGCUUACACUAAAAAAAUACAAGAAACUCUCUCUUU
Vicia villosa (hairy vetch) is the source of this 807-nucleotide long non-coding RNA. RefSeq lists it as uncharacterized. The record is from RefSeq and is a predicted model, not a curated record. The transcript has 2 exons. Lineage: Eukaryota; Viridiplantae; Streptophyta; Magnoliopsida; Fabales; Fabaceae.